AUGGAUGCUUCUCUUCGAGAUUCUGAUUUUGAACACUUGCAGAUUAUCAAGAAUGAAGAUCUUGAGGAGCUUAGGGAACUUGGUUCUAGUACUUUCGAAACUGUUUACCAUGGGAAAUGGAGAGGAACUGAUGUGGCUAUCAAGCGCAUCAAGAAAAGCUGUUUUACAGGACGAUCAUCUGAGCAAGAAAGGCUGUUAGUUUUUCCCACAUUUUGGAAAGAACCAUGCACAAAGGAAACAAACACUUCAUUUGAUCAUCAUUGGAGUAUUUGCAAACAAGGUAGCAAUACUCUGAUGGAGUACCUUCUUCAGAGUGCAAAUAGCACCAGCAGCAGCAGUCACGGCGGGAGUCAACAGCAACAAUAG
Molecule: ribosomal RNA, 366 nt
Filed under: Triticum aestivum (bread wheat)
Lineage: Eukaryota; Viridiplantae; Streptophyta; Magnoliopsida; Poales; Poaceae
Description: partial small subunit ribosomal RNA
Source: RNAcentral